Molecule: long non-coding RNA, 1225 nt
Filed under: Canis lupus familiaris (dog)
Lineage: Eukaryota; Metazoa; Chordata; Mammalia; Carnivora; Canidae
Description: lncRNA (ENSCAFG00000051192.1)
Source: RNAcentral
CUUGAUGAUGCCGCCGCUUUAAAAAUAGGGGUUGAUUGUGACAAGAGAAUACCAGCACACAGAGCUCAGAAUUUUCACAAUUAAAAACAGUCUCCCCCUCCCGCCCCUGCACACACCCCAGUCGCCUCCCCCAGCAAGGACUGGGGACCGGGGGGCUGUAGUCCGGGGUGGCGGCGGGGCCCCUUGAUGCGGCACUGCCAGAGGAGAUAACUGCCAAGCGGAUCUGGAGGAGAUUCAGAGUUAAAAUCCCUUCUCCGCCAUGCAGAUGCCACAGAAGCAGAGGCAGGCGACAAGCACUUUCUCAGAGCCUCGAGGAGAUUUUUUUCUUUUUUUUUAACUUGAACUCUGGACCAUCUUUGUACAGACCAAUGCUUUGUCUUCCGGGAAUUACUAUGUGGCACAUGCGUCUCUCUCUCUCUCUCUCUCUCUCACACACACACACACACCACCCCGAGAGGUCGCCCCAAACGGUGGGUUUGGGGGGAAGCUCUGUUGAGGAAAUGAACGCUGCCCGACCGGGAGACAGACGCGCACAGCAAGUGUCGGUGCAGGGCCGAGCCGCCCGCCUCGGGAGCGACGCGAGCUUGUCUGCACUGCGCUCGGCGGCGGCGUCAAGGGCGCCGGCGGCCGCCGCGACUUCGCCUUCAGCGUCCCCCGGUGGCACCGUCCGGGUUUGCGGAGCGAAAGCCGGGCGCAGAGCAACUUGAUGUGGGUUUGGAGUUACCACGUCUUCGGACUGUGAAAAGCUGCCUCACGGGGGACUUGGGGACGGAGAGGUGAACAAAGCGACAAUCUUGUCUUUUUUUUUUUUUUUUUUUUUUUAAACAUAACAUGAAGCUGGUAGAACCGACUUAGACUACUAGGAAUUUGGAGGUGUUGGGGGUAGGAUUUGGGAAGGGGUUAAUGCUGGGUUUAGGACCACUGUGGGAAAUGCCCAGUUCAAAGGAUCGCCCGCUCUCCCGCUGCGCUCCCGGGAGGUCAGCCCGGCGGAGGCGCCUGCGCUCGCGGUCGCCUUCCCGCAUUAUGACACCUGCCCUCGCCCUGCAACUCCCACGGCCCCGCGGCCACAGCCCUCGCACGGGUUGGAGCCAGCAAAAGUCUCUGCGCGCCCGGUCCCUUUAAAUGGUCCUCCCUUCCCUUUCAGCCCGAGGACACUGACGCGGGCGAGGACCGCAGUGCGGCCAGCGGCGGGGACCUCGCCGCCCCCCGCGCCUCCUCCGCGCGG